UUUAUAUUGUUCAAUUCAAGUUGGAGUAUACAAUUUAAGUCCAAAUCUUUUAAUUAUCAUAAAAAAAAAUUAUGUUUCAUUGACUUGUUAAAAUUGAAAAUGUAGAAUGAUCCAUGAAAGCAACUAAAUAGAGAAUGGUCAGGUGACAACAGCAUGACUAGAUUUCACUUUUGAUGGUUAGGCAAAAGGAAUUGAUUGGAAAGCGACUUGAACACUGAUGUCGCCUGCUAGCAUGAGCCAUGAAUUAGACAUUGUAUUUUAUUUAUUUUAGAAUCUGACAUACAUGACAUAUGACUGUAAGAUUUACUUCUAGUCAAUUAGCAAAAAUCUUCUGGAAAUCUAUUUAUGCAUGGCAGUCAUUUAAGACAAUAUUGUAUUUUAUCAAACUAUGGCCACGUUCCUAGCUUUAGUUACAGCUAAGAUAAAGAGUGGCGCAAUUUCACCAUCUCUUAUAAGGUUACCAUAAGAGUCUUGUAUUUUCAUCACAAAGAAGUGUUACAUGUACUCCUUUGAAUUAUAGAAUAAGUUAACAUCAGUAAAUUAAGUCUCAAAUAAACUUUAUUUUAUCACCAAACAUAAAAUCAGGACCAUUUUCCCCAUUUCAAGCCUCUGUAAGUUUUCUUCUAUUUUCACCAUGUACACACAUGCGCAAAGUCAACUUUCGAAUACACACCCUAAUUGGAAUUUUGUACAUCAGGAGUUUGUAAACAUUGACCAAUAAGACCAUGAUUUAAAACAUAAUGAAAUAUUGGCAAGCUAAAAAGGUAAGACCAGUUCGAGUCUAUGGACAUUUCAUGCUUUUCCUAAUCCCACUGACUUCAUUCUUUUUUAUACGGCCGCAAAAAAAAAAAAAAAAUAUGGUUGUAUAUUGGUAUCACAUCGUCCGAAGACGGAUUGUUUUCGAAUUAUAACUUUUGUAUUUAUAUAAGUAAAAAGAAAUCAAAAAAUUUUAACACAAUGUUUAUAACCACAA
RNAcentral lists this long non-coding RNA (973 nucleotides) under Mytilus galloprovincialis (Mediterranean mussel). The record is from RNAcentral. Lineage: Eukaryota; Metazoa; Mollusca; Bivalvia; Mytilida; Mytilidae.